AAUUGGAUUUUAAAAGCCUAAGUAUUGUAUCCUUGUAAGAAGAUACAAAGACAAACACUCAUACGGACUUCGGCUACACCAUCAAAGCUUUGAGAAGCAAGAAGAAGCUUGUUUAGUGUUUUGGAGUCGAAUAUGACUUGAUGUGAUGUGUAUGAUUGAGUAUAAGAACUUAAACCGCAAUCGGAUCUUAAAAGCCUAAGUAGUGUUUCCUUGUUAGAAGAUACAAAGCCAAAACCUCAUACGGACUUUAGUUACACCAUCAAUGCCUUGAGAAUCAAGAAAAAGCUUGGUUAAUGUUUUGGAGUCAAAUAUGA
RNAcentral lists this small RNA (314 nucleotides) under Arabidopsis thaliana (thale cress). RNAcentral describes it as "ATSL268740". The record is from RNAcentral. Lineage: Eukaryota; Viridiplantae; Streptophyta; Magnoliopsida; Brassicales; Brassicaceae.